AGAAAGGUUAAAUAGAGAGAAAAUUCAUUUGGGAACUGCCAGAAAAGUAGCACUGGGUCUUUAUGGGUUAAGAAAUGAGAAUCUACUCCCUGCAUCAGUUAAAAAGUUAAAGAACUUGUGUGCAACUGAAAUAUAUUGAUCUCUGCUGUAAUUAUCCAGUGGAAUGACCUUACCUUUAUUUAUUUGGAUCAGGUAGUGUAUCAAACUGUAUUUAUCUUAGAUUGUCAAUGUGGAAACUUUUGCAGGACUGAGCACUCACUUUCUCUACAUCACAUAAGGGAACAGGUUCUACACAGUAAAAUACAAGAGCAUCAUUCAUUUUACAGUGUUACAGGACAUGUUGCUUAUAUUAAUGGUGGAUUCUUGGAUUUUCCAGGUUGACAUAAUCAAUUUAUGAGGUAAAAACUGCCGAGUGUGAUGGUCAUGAUGAAUAUUAUGUGUUAAUUUAUGUUUCUAAAGCUCCCUCAUCGCACCAUUAAGGAUGAGUUGGAGCUUAAAUAAAAACUAAAUUGAUUUUUAAGCAUGACAAAAUCAAUUUAUAAAUCAAUAUCUGUCGUAUAAAAUGAUACACAUAUCUUGGUGUUUUGCAAGUGACAGUCUGCACUUGGCCUGAUUACAAGCUGGUCAUAGAAGAGGAAGAACAAAACCACAGAGAAUCAAUACUGUUGCAUUCAAACAGGAAUUUAUCGGACCGUAUUGCAUAACCUACAAAACACCCUUCUUUCAAUUCCACUUCAGAAAUGAUAUAUUUCUUCUUGAACACUGGACCAUUUUCCCUUAAAAGUGUAUUUUUAGUAAAGUUAAUGCCUUGGAUCUGUUUACAGCUGUUCUCAGACUGAACAAGGUAUUACAAAAUAUUUGUGAAAAUGACAGUUGAAAAUGAGUCACUAAAAGAUCUUGUUAAAUAGCACCUUGCUACCCCAAUUUUUCUUCAAAGAAUAACUGCAAAACAAAAAAAUAUGUGUAUCAUGACAAACCCAUGGAAAAUAUGAACUAAUACCUUUUUUCGUUUUAUGACUAUGCAAUAGGGAUCUUAUCAAUGACAUAAGUUUUAGUGGUGUUUUAUUCCACACUAGAAAUGUUUAUGUCAUGACUUUUCACAAGAUAUAAUAUAUUUUUCAUAACAGAUAUACAUUUCGAGCAUUGUGAGCCUGAGGAAACCUGCUAUUUAAAGCCAAAUGAAAGGCUUUUCAAAGAGCUUCAUCAUCACAGGAGGAGGAUUUACAGGGAAAGAUAAUGGUAAAAUCCACGCCAAGGGGAAUUGUGUCCAUGAACCUUUUAAUGAUGUUUCAUAGCUAUACAUCUUAAUUACUAAUGGCACAGUUUGAUUGUUUUAUAGGGCUUUAAAGGAAAUUAAAGCUAUUUCACAAUGACCUUGGGAAACUCCUCUGCUGACCUCUUCUGUAACAGUGCCUGGUUUAUGUUCACUACCAGCCAAGCAGAGAGGGCUGCAUCGUAUCCAUGGAGCGGACUGACACAUUUAUUUGGCGGCUGCCCUGAGUCAGGGGCAGAUCAAGCGGCCAUCCGUCCUGCAGCCUUCCUAAUCCUUGCCUCAACACAAGUAUUAAUAACCCCUUCAGCAAGGUUCGCUGUCAGCCCUCAUUAAAUCCAACUGAAGAAGAGACAGAGAGACAAAGUGCCGCAGAAGAACAUUUGAUGCAUUCACAUGUCAGAUAAAGCCGCUGUGGAAAGACAGACAAAUGAGAAGUAAAACAGAUAGCAGUCAUCAGACAUGAAUAUCCACUAUAAAUGGCUAAAGUACCUUUUCAGAUGGAGGACCCUAUGUUUGUGUGCAUCACGUUCCUCUGAUACCUGUCAAUGUGUCAUGCUUAUAAAGCAGGAGGCUGUUCAAUGGGCCAUGUGAAGGCAGACAGAAUGAAAUUAACUGUUAAUGGGCACAUUCUGACGGAUGAAUUGAGAGUCUCGGUAGCAUGCCGUUCUAAUCCUUUCUGGAUGAAAAAAAUCCAAUUAAUGCGUUGACCUUGCUAUCUAAAUAUGCCCUUGUAGGCUGGAGGAUCCUUUGCAGAGUAAACAGAGGUGCAUACUCUGGCAGCAGGACAUGUUUGUACAACAGCAUU
Molecule: long non-coding RNA, 2078 nt
Organism: Sphaeramia orbicularis (orbiculate cardinalfish)
Lineage: Eukaryota; Metazoa; Chordata; Actinopteri; Kurtiformes; Apogonidae
Exons: 2
Source: RefSeq, a predicted model, not a curated record